Molecule: ribosomal RNA, 484 nt
Filed under: uncultured bacterium
Lineage: Bacteria
Description: partial 16S ribosomal RNA
Rfam family: Bacterial small subunit ribosomal RNA
Source: RNAcentral
AUUGAACGCUGGCGGCAGGCCUAACACAUGCAAGUCGAGCGGAUGAAGGGAGCUUGCUCCUGGAUUCAGCGGCGGACGGGUGAGUAAUGCCUAGGAAUCUGCCUGGUAGUGGGGGAUAACGUCCGGAAACGGGCGCUAAUACCGCAUACGUCCUGAGGGAGAAAGUGGGGGAUCUUCGGACCUCACGCUAUCAGAUGAGCCUAGGUCGGAUUAGCUAGUUGGUGGGGUAAAGGCCUACCAAGGCGACGAUCCGUAACUGGUCUGAGAGGAUGAUCAGUCGCACUGGAACUGAGACACGGUCCAGACUCCUAAGGGAGGCAGCAGUGGGGAAUAUUGGACAAUGGGCGAAAGCCUGAUACAGCCAUGCCGCGUGUGUGAAGAAGGUCUUCGGAUUGUAAAGCACUUUAAGUUGGGAGGAAGGGCAGUAAGUUAAUACCUUGCUGUUUUGACGUUACCAACAGAAUAAGCACCGGCUAACUUCGUG